AUUGACUUGGCAGAAACAAUAUGCGAUUGAUUUAGGAUCAUUAUAUAAUAUAAAAUAUUAGUCGGUU
Molecule: transfer RNA, 67 nt
Filed under: Phyllidia elegans
Lineage: Eukaryota; Metazoa; Mollusca; Gastropoda; Nudibranchia; Phyllidiidae
Description: tRNA-Leu
Source: RNAcentral